RNAcentral lists this ribosomal RNA (497 nucleotides) under uncultured bacterium. RNAcentral's name for it is "partial 16S ribosomal RNA". It matches the Rfam family "Bacterial small subunit ribosomal RNA", at positions 28 to 507 of the family's 1533-position model. The record is from RNAcentral.
GAUGAACGCUGGCGGCGUGCCUAAUACAUGCAAGUCGAGCGAACAGACGAGGAGCUUGCUCCUCUGACGUUAGCGGCGGACGGGUGAGUAACACGUGGAUAACCUACCUAUAAGACUGGGAUAACUUCGGGAAACCGGAGCUAAUACCGGAUAAUAUAUUGAACCGCAUGGUUCAAUAGUGAAAGACGGUUUUGCUGUCACUUAUAGAUGGAUCCGCGCCGCAUUAGCUAGUUGGUAAGGUAACGGCUUACCAAGGCAACGAUGCGUAGCCGCCCUGAGAGGGUGAUCGGCCACACUGGAACUGAGACACGGCCCAGACUCCUACGGGAGGCAGCAGUAGGGAAUCUUCUGCAAUGGGCGAAAGCCUGACGGAGCAACGCCGCGUGAGUGAUGAAGGUCUUCGGAUCGUAAAACUCUGUUAUUAGGGAAGAACAAAUGUGUAAGUAACUAUGCACGUCUUGACGGUACCUAAUCAGAAAGCCACGGCUAACUACGUG